Molecule: transfer RNA, 73 nt
Filed under: Camelus bactrianus (Bactrian camel)
Lineage: Eukaryota; Metazoa; Chordata; Mammalia; Artiodactyla; Camelidae
Also listed under: 2 other names
Rfam family: tRNA
About the family: Transfer RNA (tRNA) molecules are approximately 80 nucleotides in length.
Source: Rfam by way of RNAcentral
GAGGGUAUAGCUCAAGUGGUAGAGCACAUCCUUACCAUGCAUGAGGUCCUGGGUUCAAUCCCCAGUACUUCCU